AUCGCUUCUCGGCCUUUUGGCUAAGAUCAAGUGUAAAAUCAAAAAAAUUAAAAAUUAUCUUCCAGCAUCU
This 70-nucleotide small nuclear RNA is filed under the name Fukomys damarensis (Damara mole-rat). RNAcentral describes it as "U2 spliceosomal RNA". Lineage: Eukaryota; Metazoa; Chordata; Mammalia; Rodentia; Bathyergidae. The record is from Rfam by way of RNAcentral.